UCAAGCUACAAAGGGCGUACGGUGAAUGCCUUGGCAUCAAGAGCCGAUGAAGGACGUGAUAAGCUGCGAUAAGCUUCGGGUAGGCGCAAAUAGCCUGAGAUCCGGAGAUCUCCGAAUGAGGAAACUCACAUGGGUAACCCCAUGUAUCCUUAAGUGAAUACAUAGCUUAAGGAGGGAACACCUAGGGAACUGAAACAUCUAAGUACCUAGAGGAAGAGAAAGAAAAAUCGAUUUUCUUAGUAGCGGCGAGCGAAAAGGAAAGAGUCCAAACCAGAAACUUGUUUCUGGGGUUGAGGAUAUAACAUCAAAGUUAAGAGUUUGUAACCGAAGAGAGUUGGAAAGCUCUACCGUAGGAGGUAAUAGUCCUGUAGGUUAAACGAACAAAUAACGAGUUAUAAUCCAGAGUACCACGAGACACGAGGAACCUUGUGGGAAGCAGGGAGGACCACCUCCCAAGACUAAAUACUACUUGAUGACCGAUAGUGAAGCAGUACCGUGAGGGAAAGGUGAAAAGAACCCCGGGAGGGGAGUGAAAUAGAACCUGAAACCGUAUGUCCACAACCGAUCAAAGCGCCUUAUGAGCGCGAUGAUGUGCUUUUUGUAGAACGAGCCAACGAGUUACGGUAUGUAGCGAGGUUAAGUACUUAAGGUACGGAGCCGAAGGGAAACCAAGUCUGAAUAGGGCGACUAGUUGCAUGCCGUAGACCCGAAACCGGGUGACCUAUCCAUGAGCAGGUUGAAGCGAAGGUAAAACUUCGUGGAGGACCGAACCACGUUACUGUUGAAAAAGUAUGGGAUGACUUGUGGAUAGCGGAGAAAUUCCAAUCGAACUCGGAUAUAGCUGGUUCUCCCCGAAAUAGCUUUAGGGCUAGCGUCGGAACAUUGAGUAAUGGAGGUAGAGCACUGAAUGGGCUAGGGGGCAUAGCGCUUACCGAACCUUAUCAAACUCCGAAUGCCAUAUACUUUUACUCCGGCAGUCAGACUGUGAAUGAUAAGAUCCAUGGUCGAAAGGGAAACAGCCCAGAUCGUCAGCUAAGGUCCCAAAGUGUAAGUUAAGUGGAAAAGGAUGUGGGAUUUCUAAGACAACUAGGAUGUUGGCUCAGAAGCAGCCACUCAUUUAAAGAGUGCGUAAUAGCUCACUAGUCAAGAGAUCCUGCGCCGAAAAUGUUCGGGGCUAAAACUUACCACCGAAGCUACGGAAUUGAAUUUAUUCAAUUGGUAGGGGAGCGUCGUAAUCGGGCUGAAGUCGUACCGUAAGGAGCGGUGGACUGAUUACGAGUGAGAAUGUUGGCAUUAGUAGCGAGAUGUGGGUGAGAAUCCCACAGGCCGAAAACCCAAGGUUUCCUCAGGAAGGCUCGUCCGCUGAGGGUUAGUCGGGACCUAAGCUGAGGCCGAAAGGCGUAAGCGAUGGACAACUGGUUGAUAUUCCAGUACCACUACAAUCGUUAUUAUCGAUGGUGUGACGCAGGAAGAUAGGAUGUGCUAGCUGUUGGAUAUGCUAGUCUAAGCGUUUAGGGAGUCAUGGUAGGCAAAUCCGCCAUGGCAAUUCUGAGGCGUGAUGGGGAAGGUUCUACGGAACCGAAGUAUCUGAUUCUACGCUGCCGAGAAAAGCAUCUAGAGAGAGAAGUAGUGCCCGUACCGCAAACCGACACAGGUAGGUGAGGAGAGAAUCCUAAGGCCGGCGGAUGAAUCACAGUUAAGGAACUCGGCAAAUUGACCCCGUAACUUCGGGAGAAGGGGUGCCUACGAGAGUAGGCCGCAGAGAAUAGGCCCAAUCAACUGUUUAGCAAAAACACAGGUCUCUGCUAAAGCGUAAGCUGAUGUAUAGGGGCUGACGCCUGCCCGGUGCUGGAAGGUUAAGGGGAAUGCUUAGCGCAAGCGAAGGUAUGAACUUAAGCCCCAGUAAACGGCGGCCGUAACUAUAACGGUCCUAAGGUAGCGAAAUUCCUUGUCAGGUAAGUUCUGACCCGCACGAAUGGCGUAAUGAAUUGGGCACUGUCUCAACUGUGAAUCCGGCGAAGUUGUAGUACGAGUGAAGAUGCUCGUUACCCGCGAUUGGACGGAAAGACCCCGUAGAGCUUUACUGUAGCUUAGCAUUGAAUUUUGGUAUUGUCUGUACAGGAUAGGUGGGAGACUGAGAAACUAGGUCGUCAGACUUAGUGGAGUCAUCCUUGGGAUACCACCCUGACAUUACUGAAGUUCUAACUGGCGGCCAUGAAUCUGGUCACAGGACAUUGUUAGGUGGGCAGUUUGNUGGAUAGAACA
Molecule: ribosomal RNA, 2265 nt
Filed under: Clostridium mediterraneense
Lineage: Bacteria; Bacillati; Bacillota; Clostridia; Eubacteriales; Clostridiaceae
Description: bacterial LSU rRNA
Rfam family: Bacterial large subunit ribosomal RNA
Source: RNAcentral